AAUUCUCAACCAUGUCUGGAUUCACUUCUAGGCAUGGCUUGGAGUUUGGGAGUUGCUGGCGUCAAGUCAGCUCUUCUGAAAUAUAUUAGCGACGGACGAGCAUGGUCCUGACGUGCACGGCCUUCCGACGUGAUAAUGAUCGUCGUGGCUGGAGCGGGUUCGGGACGGGUUGCAUCUUCAUGGUCCAUUUCGCUUCCAACUCCCCCCAUAAUCUGAAC
Molecule: unclassified non-coding RNA, 218 nt
Filed under: uncultured Tylopilus
Lineage: Eukaryota; Fungi; Basidiomycota; Agaricomycetes; Boletales; Boletaceae
Description: sequence contains ITS2
Source: RNAcentral